RNAcentral lists this ribosomal RNA (492 nucleotides) under uncultured bacterium. RNAcentral describes it as "partial 16S ribosomal RNA". It matches the Rfam family "Bacterial small subunit ribosomal RNA", at positions 29 to 507 of the family's 1533-position model. The record is from RNAcentral.
AGUGAACGCUGGCGGUAGGCCUAACACAUGCAAGUCGAACGGCAGCACAGUAAGCGCUUGCUCUUACGGGUGGCGAGUGGCGGACGGGUGAGGAAUACAUCGGAAUCUACUUUUUCGUGGGGGAUAACGUAGGGAAACUUACGCUAAUACCGCAUACGACCUACGGGUGAAAGCAGGGGAUCUUCGGACCUUGCGCGAUUGAAUGAGCCGAUGUCGGAUUAGCUAGUUGGCGGGGUAAAGGCCCACCAAGGCGACGAUACGUAGCUGAUCUGAGAGGAUGAUCAGCCACACUGGAACUGAGACACGGUCCAGACUCCUACGGGAGGCAGCAGUGGGGAAUAUUGGACAAUGGGCGCAAGCCUGAUCCAGCCAUACCGCGCGGGUGAAGAAGGCCUUCGGGUUGUAAAGCCCUUUUGUUGGGAAAGAAAAGCAGCAGGUUAAUACCCCGCUGUUCUGGCGGUACCCAAAGAAUAAGCACCGGCUAACUUCGUG